GACGAACGCUGGCGGCGUGCUUAACACAUGCAAGUCGAGCGGUAAGGCCUUUCGGGGUCCACGAGCGGCGAACGGGUGAGUAACACGUGGGUGAUCUGCCCUGCACUUCGGGAUAAGCCUGGGAAACUGGGUCUAAUACCGGAUAUGACCUCCUAUCGCAUGGUGGGUGGUGGAAAGAUUUAUCGGUGCAGGAUGGGCCCGCGGCCUAUCAGCUUGUUGGUGGGGUAAUGGCCUACCAAGGCGACGACGGGUAGCCGACCUGAGAGGGUGACCGGCCACACUGGGACUGAGACACGGCCCAGACUCCUAUGGGAGGCAGCAGUGGGGAAUAUUGCACAAUGGGCGAAAGCCUGAUGCAGCGACGCCGCGUGAGGGAUGACGGCCUUCGGGUUGUAAACCUCUUUCAGCAGGGACGAAGCGCAAGUGACGGUACCUGCAGAAGAAGCACCGGCUAACUACGUG
This 462-nucleotide ribosomal RNA is filed under the name uncultured bacterium. Its description in RNAcentral is "partial 16S ribosomal RNA". It matches the Rfam family "Bacterial small subunit ribosomal RNA", at positions 28 to 507 of the family's 1533-position model. The record is from RNAcentral.